Molecule: ribosomal RNA, 468 nt
Filed under: uncultured bacterium
Lineage: Bacteria
Description: partial 16S ribosomal RNA
Rfam family: Bacterial small subunit ribosomal RNA
Source: RNAcentral
GACGAACGCUGGCGGCGUGCUUAACACAUGCAAGUCGAACGGGAAGGCCCUGCUUUUGUGGGGUGCUCGAGUGGCGAACGGGUGAGUAACACGUGAGUAACCUGCCCUUGACUUUGGGAUAACUUCAGGAAACUGGGGCUAAUACCGGAUAGGAGCUCCUGCUGCAUGGUGGGGGUUGGAAAGUUUCGGCGGUUGGGGAUGGACUCGCGGCUUAUCAGCUUGUUGGUGGGGUAGUGGCUUACCAAGGCUUUGACGGGUAGCCGGCCUGAGAGGGUGACCGGCCACAUUGGGACUGAGAUACGGCCCAGACUCCUACGGGAGGCAGCAGUGGGGAAUAUUGCACAAUGGGCGGAAGCCUGAUGCAGCAACGCCGCGUGGGGGAUGACGGCCUUCGGGUUGUAAACCGCUUUCGCCUGUGACGAAGCGUGAGUGACGGUAAUGGGUAAAGAAGCACCGGCUAACUACGUG